Cricetulus griseus (Chinese hamster) is the source of this 789-nucleotide non-coding RNA. Lineage: Eukaryota; Metazoa; Chordata; Mammalia; Rodentia; Cricetidae. The record is from RefSeq and is a predicted model, not a curated record.
CCAAGGCUAAUUGACACUCUCACUCUUUUGAGGCGCUGCCAGGCCAGAAGUUGGGGGAGGGAAGUACUUGAGGCUUGGCCCUCCCCUCCUGGAUUCCACGUUCAGAUACCAAGAUGUCCCUUUGGUCUCUCCAAGAUUGUUGAUCCCACCAGGUAGGGACCUCUAGACUCUGAUGGGUCCUCACUCAUAGACCCCAGAGGCAGCUCUGCCACAGCCUUUGUGAACCAGGGAAGAGAGCCUGUGGUGGCUGUCACUCCCACUAGGUUGACCCCAGCUUGAGGAUGGUGUCUUCACUGGGUGGAAUAUUCCAAGAGAGUAGGACACCUAGCGUUCACUCAAACCCUGGAAACCGUACCUGGAACACAGUUACCAAGAGGGUCAAGAAAUCAAGGCAGCCGUGGAUCUUAUCAUCUGGGAUUUUUGAGUGGUCAGAUCAGCGAAGCAGCGUAAGGAAAAGGAAAGGACUCAUCGUUCCAGGGAAUGGAAAAUGCCUGUAGCCCGGAGUCUUAGCCAGCGCAGAGAUUGAGCAAGUUAUGUUUCCUCCUCUGCGAAGAAGGUAACCAAGGCUGGAGAGAUGGCUCAGCAGUCCAGAGCACUGGCUACUCUUCCAGAAGACCCGGAAUCCAUUCCCGGCACCCACAUUUAAUGGCUCACAUCAUCUGUAACUCUAGUUCCAGGGGAUCUGAUGUCAUCUUCUGAGCACGGCAUACAUAUGGUUUGCAAACAUACUUUGAGUUCAAUGUAUAAAAAACUCACAUGCAUAAAAUUAAAAAAAUAUUUUAAUGGGAA